RNAcentral lists this ribosomal RNA (236 nucleotides) under uncultured bacterium. RNAcentral's name for it is "partial 16S ribosomal RNA". It matches the Rfam family "Bacterial small subunit ribosomal RNA", at positions 86 to 339 of the family's 1533-position model. The record is from RNAcentral.
UCGGACUUAGCGGCGGACGGGUGAGUAACGCGUGGGAACAUACCCUUUGGUACGGAAUAGCCUCGGGAAACUGGGAGCAAUACCGUAUGUGCCCGAAAGGGGAAAGAUUUAUCGCCUUUGGAUUGGCCCGCGUCGGAUUAGCUAGUUGGUGGGGUAAAAGCCUACCAAGGCAACGAUCCAUAGCUGGUUUGAGAGGAUGAUCAGCCACACUGGGACUGAGACACGGCCCAGACUCC